RNAcentral lists this ribosomal RNA (1491 nucleotides) under uncultured bacterium. RNAcentral's name for it is "partial 16S ribosomal RNA". It matches the Rfam family "Bacterial small subunit ribosomal RNA". The record is from RNAcentral.
UGAGUUUGAUCAUGGCUCAGGAUGAACGCUAGCGGGAGGCUUAACACAUGCAAGCCGAGGGGUAUGUAGUUGCUUGCAACUGCAGAGACCGGCGGAUGGGUGAGUAACGCGUAUGAAACUUGCCCGUAUCAUAGGGAUAGCCCGGGGAAACUCGGAUUAAUACCUUAUAACAUAUGGAUAGGCAUCUAUUUAUAUUAAAAGAUUUAUCGGAUACGGAUAGUCAUGCGUCAGAUUAGUUAGUUGGUAAGGUAAGGGCUUACCAAGGCGAUGAUCUGUAGGGGGCCUGAGAGGGCGAUCCCCCACACUGGUACUGAGACACGGACCAGACUCCUACGGGAGGCAGCAGUGGGGGAUAUUGCACAAUGGGGGAAACCCUGAUGCAGCGACGCCGCGUGAGGGAUGACGGCCUUCGGGUUGUAAACCUCUUUCAGUUGGGAAGAAGCCCUUUGGGGUGACGGUACCUUCAGAAGAAGCACCGGCUAACUACGUGCCAGCAGCCGCGGUAAUACGUAGGGUGCGAGCGUUAUCCGGAAUUAUUGGGCGUAAAGAGCUCGUAGGCGGUUUGUCACGUCUGCUGUGAAAGCUGAAGGCUUAACCUUCAGUUUGCAGUGGGUACGGGCAGGCUGGAGUGCAGUAGGGGAGACUGGAAUUCCUGGUGUAGCGGUGAAAUGCGCAGAUAUCAGGAGGAACACCGAUGGCGAAAGCAGGUCUCUGGGCUGUUACUGACGCUGAGGAGCGAAAGCAUGGGGGAGCGAACAGGAUUAGAUACCUUGGUAGUCCAUGCCGUAAACGUUGGGCACUAGGUGUGGGGACCAUUUCCACGGUUUCCGCGCCGUAGCUAACGCAUUAAGUGCCCCGCCUGGGGAGUACGGCCGCAAGGCUAAAACUCAAAGGAAUUGACGGGGGCCCGCACAAGCGGCGGAGCAUGCGGAUUAAUUCGAUGCAACGCGAAGAACCUUACCAAGGCUUGACAUACACUGGACCGGGCUAGAGAUAGUCCUUCCCCUUUGGGGCUGGUGUACAGGUGGUGCAUGGUUGUCGUCAGCUCGUGUCGUGAGAUGUUGGGUUAAGUCCCGCAACGAGCGGAACCCCUAUGCUAUGUUGCCAGCACGUAAUGGUGGGGACUCAUGGGAGACUGCCGGGGUCAACUCGGAGGAAGGUGGGGACGACGUCAAAUCAUCAUGCCCCUUAUGUCUUGGGCUUCACGCAUGCUACAAUGGCCGGCACAAUGGGUUGCGGGACUGUGAGGUUGAGCUAAUCCCAUAAAACCGGUCUCAGUUCGGAUUGGGGUCUGCAACUCGACCCCAUGAAGUCGGAGUCGCUAGUAAUCGCAGAUCAGCAACGCUGCGGUGAAUACGUUCCCGGGCCUUGUACACACCGCCCGUCAAGUCACGAAAGUUGGUAACACCCGAAGCCGAUGGCCCAACCCCUAGGGGAGGGAGUCGUCGAAGGUGGGACCGGUGAUUGGGACUAAGUCGUAACAAGGUAUCA